Ailuropoda melanoleuca (giant panda) is the source of this 120-nucleotide small nucleolar RNA. Its record names the gene SNORA72. It matches the Rfam family "Small nucleolar RNA SNORA72". Rfam says of the family: U72 is a member of the H/ACA class of snoRNAs. The snoRNA gene is located in intron 4 of the ribosomal L30 protein gene in human, mouse and chicken. The record is from Ensembl. Lineage: Eukaryota; Metazoa; Chordata; Mammalia; Carnivora; Ursidae.
UGGGGAAUAGUCUUGCUGUUCUGAUUCUGUGAUAAUCAGGGCAGACUAAACACAUGCUAUGUUAAGACCAUGCAUGUGUCCCCAGACCUGGAUCUGCUUCGAUCAGUGCUGAUGACAGAC